AUGAACGCUGGCGGCGUGCCUAAUACAUGCAAGUCGAGCGAACGGACGAGAAGCUUGCUUCUCUGAUGUUAGCGGCGGACGGGUGAGUAACACGUGGAUAACCUACCUAUAAGACUGGGAUAACUUCGGGAAACCGGAGCUAAUACCGGAUAAUAUUUUGAACCGCAUGGUUCAAAAGUGAAAGACGGUCUUGCUGUCACUUAUAGAUGGAUCCGCGCUGCAUUAGCUAGUUGGUAAGGUAACGGCUUACCAAGGCAACGAUGCAUAGCCGACCUGAGAGGGUGAUCGGCCACACUGGAACUGAGACACGGUCCAGACUCCUACGGGAGGUAGCAGUAGGGAAUCUUCCGCAAUGGGCGAAAGCCUGACGGAGCAACGCCGAGUGAGUGAUGAAGGUCUUCGGAUCGUAAAACUCUGUUAUUAGGGAAGAACAUAUGUGUAAGUAACUGUGCACAUCUUGACGGUACCUAAUCAGAAAGCCACGGCUAACUACGUG
RNAcentral lists this ribosomal RNA (496 nucleotides) under uncultured bacterium. RNAcentral's name for it is "partial 16S ribosomal RNA". It matches the Rfam family "Bacterial small subunit ribosomal RNA", at positions 29 to 507 of the family's 1533-position model. The record is from RNAcentral.